Molecule: ribosomal RNA, 981 nt
Filed under: Enterococcus faecium
Lineage: Bacteria; Bacillati; Bacillota; Bacilli; Lactobacillales; Enterococcaceae
Description: bacterial SSU rRNA
Rfam family: Bacterial small subunit ribosomal RNA
Source: RNAcentral
UGCAGUCGAACGCUUCUUUUUCCACCGGAGCUUGCUCCACCGGAAAAAGAAGAGUGGCGAACGGGUGAGUAACACGUGGGUAACCUGCCCAUCAGAAGGGGAUAACACUUGGAAACAGGUGCUAAUACCGUAUAACAAUCAAAACCGCAUGGUUUUGAUUUGAAAGGCGCUUUCGGGUGUCGCUGAUGGAUGGACCCGCGGUGCAUUAGCUAGUUGGUGAGGUAACGGCUCACCAAGGCCACGAUGCAUAGCCGACCUGAGAGGGUGAUCGGCCACAUUGGGACUGAGACACGGCCCAAACUCCUACGGGAGGCAGCAGUAGGGAAUCUUCGGCAAUGGACGAAAGUCUGACCGAGCAACGCCGCGUGAGUGAAGAAGGUUUUCGGAUCGUAAAACUCUGUUGUUAGAGAAGAACAAGGAUGAGAGUAACUGUUCAUCCCUUGACGGUAUCUAACCAGAAAGCCACGGCUAACUACGUGCCAGCAGCCGCGGUAAUACGUAGGUGGCAAGCGUUGUCCGGAUUUAUUGGGCGUAAAGCGAGCGCAGGCGGUUUCUUAAGUCUGAUGUGAAAGCCCCCGGCUCAACCGGGGAGGGUCAUUGGAAACUGGGAGACUUGAGUGCAGAAGAGGAGAGUGGAAUUCCAUGUGUAGCGGUGAAAUGCGUAGAUAUAUGGAGGAACACCAGUGGCGAAGGCGGCUCUCUGGUCUGUAACUGACGCUGAGGCUCGAAAGCGUGGGGAGCAAACAGGAUUAGAUACCCUGGUAGUCCACGCCGUAAACGAUGAGUGCUAAGUGUUGGAGGGUUUCCGCCCUUCAGUGCUGCAGCUAACGCAUUAAGCACUCCGCCUGGGGAGUACGACCGCAAGGUUGAAACUCAAAGGAAUUGACGGGGGCCCGCACAAGCGGUGGAGCAUGUGGUUUAAUUCGAAGCAACGCGAAGAACCUUACCAGGUCUUGACAUCCUUUGACCACUCUAGAGAUA